AGCUUUCCGAAUCCGUGCUGAGAUUUCUUCAGACACCAACCCAUUAGGGCUGAUGAGACUUCCAAAAUAAACGAAGUU
RNAcentral lists this microRNA precursor (78 nucleotides) under Schistosoma curassoni. RNAcentral's name for it is "mir-3492 microRNA precursor family". It matches the Rfam family "mir-3492 microRNA precursor family". Lineage: Eukaryota; Metazoa; Platyhelminthes; Trematoda; Strigeidida; Schistosomatidae. The record is from Rfam by way of RNAcentral.